UACGGAGGGUGCAAACGUUGUUCGGAAUUAUUGGGCGUAAAGAGCAUGUAGGCGGUCUGUCAAGUCUGAUGUGAAAGCCCGGGGCUCAACCCCGGAAGUGCAUUGGAAACUGGCAGACUUGAGUACGGGAGAGGAAAGUGGAAUUUCGAGUGUAGGGGUGAAAUCCGUAGAUAUUCGAAGGAACACCAGUGGCGAAGGCGGCUUUCUGGACCGAUACUGACGCUGAGAUGCGAAAGCGUGGGGAGCAAACAGGAUUAGAUACCCCCGUA
This 269-nucleotide ribosomal RNA is filed under the name uncultured prokaryote. Its description in RNAcentral is "partial 16S ribosomal RNA". It matches the Rfam family "Bacterial small subunit ribosomal RNA", at positions 524 to 792 of the family's 1533-position model. The record is from RNAcentral.